This 225-nucleotide unclassified non-coding RNA is filed under the name fungal sp. RNAcentral describes it as "partial internal transcribed spacer region". The stretch from base 1 to 46 matches the Rfam family "Eukaryotic small subunit ribosomal RNA", at positions 1786 to 1831 of the family's 1831-position model. Lineage: Eukaryota; Fungi. The record is from RNAcentral.
AAGUCGUAACAAGGUUUCCGUAGGUGAACCUGCGGAAGGAUCAUCAACAAAAUGGAUCGUAGCCGUUAUGGUGUCCUUUUCCGGGUGCCGCGGCCAGGCCUCUUUUGGUCUGAACUCUUCUUGAUCAGAGCUCUGACACAUUUUGUGCGAUGGUGUCCCACCUUUUGGCUGGGGACUACCAGCCAUUGAAAAACACAACUUUUGACAACGGAUCUCUUGGCUCUC